RNAcentral lists this ribosomal RNA (744 nucleotides) under uncultured bacterium. RNAcentral describes it as "bacterial SSU rRNA". It matches the Rfam family "Bacterial small subunit ribosomal RNA", at positions 8 to 796 of the family's 1533-position model. The record is from RNAcentral.
AGAGUUUGAUCAUGGCUCAGAGCGAACGCUGGCGGCAGGCUUAACACAUGCAAGUCGAGCGGGCGUAGCAAUACGUCAGCGGCAGACGGGUGAGUAACGCGUGGGAACGUACCUUUUGGUUCGGGAUAACCCAGGGAAACUUGGACUAAUACCGGAUAAGCCCUUACGGGGAAAGAUUUAUCGCCGAAAGAUCGGCCCGCGUCUGAUUAGCUAGUUGGUGAGGUAAUGGCUCACCAAGGCGACGAUCAGUAGCUGGUCUGAGAGGAUGAUCAGCCACAUUGGGACUGAGACACGGCCCAGACUCCUACGGGAGGCAGCAGUGGGGAAUAUUGGACAAUGGGCGCAAGCCUGAUCCAGCCAUGCCGCGUGGGUGAUGAAGGCCCUAGGGUUGUAAAGCCCUUUCGGCGGGGAAGAUAAUGACGGUACCCGCAGAAGAAGCCCCGGCUAACUUCGUGCCAGCAGCCGCGGUAAUACGAAGGGGGCUAGCGUUGCUCGGAAUCACUGGGCGUAAAGCGCACGUAGGCGGAUUGCUAAGUCAGGGGUGAAAUCCUGGAGCUCAACUCCAGAACUGCCUUUGAUACUGGCGAUCUCGAGUCCGGGAGAGGUGAGUGGAACUGCGAGUGUAGAGGUGAAAUUCGUAGAUAUUCGCAAGAACACCAGUGGCGAAGGCGGCUCACUGGCCCGGUACUGACGCUGAGGUGCGAAAGCGUGGGGAGCAAACAGGAUUAGAUACCCCCGUAGUCC